UGAGGAAUAUUGGGCAAUGCCCGCAAGGGUGACCCAGCAACGCCGCGUGGAGGAUGAAUGUCGUAAGAUUGUAAACUCCUGUUAGAGGGGAAGAAUAGUACCGGUUGGACCGGUAUAUGACUGUACCCUCAGAGAAAGCCCCGGCUAACUACGUGCCAGCAGCCGCGGUAAUACGUAGGGGGCAAGCGUUGUCCGGAUUUACUGGGUGUAAAGGGCGCGCAGGCGGGAUAGAAAGUCAGUGGUGAAAUCCUACAGCUUAACUGUAGAACUGCCUUUGAUACUUUUAUUCUUUAGUUCGGGAGAGAGAGACGGAAUUCCUGGUGUAGUGGUGAAAUACGUAGAUAUCUGGAAGAACACCAGUUGCGAAGGCGGUCUCUUGGUCCGACACUGACGCUGAGGCGCGAAAGCGUGGGGAGCAAACA
RNAcentral lists this ribosomal RNA (422 nucleotides) under uncultured bacterium. RNAcentral describes it as "bacterial SSU rRNA". It matches the Rfam family "Bacterial small subunit ribosomal RNA", at positions 355 to 774 of the family's 1533-position model. The record is from RNAcentral.